CCCGCUGAACUUAAGCAUAUCAAUAAGCGGAGGAAAAGAAACUAACAAGGAUUCCCCUAGUAACUGCGAGUGAAGCGGGAAAAGCUCAAAUUUAAAAUCUGGCGGUCUUUCGGCCGUCCGAGUUGUAAUCUGGAGAAGCGUUUAUCCGCGUUGGACCGUGUACAAGUCUUCUGGAAGGGAGCGUCAUAGAGGGUGAGAAUCCCGUCUUUGACACGGACUACCAAUGCUUUUGUGAUGCGCUCUCGAAGAGUCGAGUUGUUUGGGAAUGCAGCUCAAAAUGGGUGGUAAAUUCCAUCUAAAGCUAAAUAUUGGCGAGAGACCGAUAGCGAACAAGUACCGUGAGGGAAAGAUGAAAAGCACUUUGGAAAGAGAGUUAAACAGUAUGUGAAAUUGUUGAAAGGGAAACGAUUGAGGUCAGUCAUGUCUGUGGGAUUCAGCUGUCUCUGGCAGUGUACUUCCCAUGGAUGGGUCAACAUCAGUUUUGGCCGGUGGAUAAGGGCUGGAGGAAGGUGGCACCCUUGGGUGUGUUAUAGCCUCCUGUCACAUACAUCGGCUGAGACUGAGGAAUGCAGCUCGCCUUUAUGGCCGGGGUUCGCCCACGUUCGAGCUUAGGAUGUUGACAUAAUGGCCUUAAACGACCCGUCUUGAAACACGG
Molecule: ribosomal RNA, 655 nt
Filed under: uncultured fungus
Lineage: Eukaryota; Fungi
Description: eukaryotic LSU rRNA
Rfam family: Eukaryotic large subunit ribosomal RNA
Source: RNAcentral